GUCUCCGUGGCGCAAUGGUAGCGCGUUGGACUUCUACCAUUUACAAUCGGUCAUCCAAAGGCUGCGGGUUCGAGCCCCGCCGGAGAUG
This is a non-coding RNA of Macroventuria anomochaeta, 88 nucleotides long. NCBI's taxonomy places the organism in Eukaryota, Fungi, Ascomycota, Dothideomycetes, Pleosporales, Didymellaceae. The record is from the annotation of a RefSeq genome assembly.